RNAcentral lists this ribosomal RNA (187 nucleotides) under Escherichia coli. RNAcentral's name for it is "partial 16S ribosomal RNA". It matches the Rfam family "Bacterial small subunit ribosomal RNA", at positions 1 to 181 of the family's 1533-position model. RNAcentral also lists the same sequence under 1 other name. Lineage: Bacteria; Pseudomonadati; Pseudomonadota; Gammaproteobacteria; Enterobacterales; Enterobacteriaceae. The record is from RNAcentral.
AAAUUGAAGAGUUUGAUCAUGGCUCAGAUUGAACGCUGGCGGCAGGCCUAACACAUGCAAGUCGAACGGUAACAGGAAACAGCUUGCUGUUUCGCUGACGAGUGGCGGACGGGUGAGUAAUGUCUGGGAAACUGCCUGAUGGAGGGGGAUAACUACUGGAAACGGUAGCUAAUACCGCAUAAUGUCG